AGUUAACAUUAAAAUUCAGUGGGGCCCUAUAGUCUGUAAUUAACUCGCAAUUUUCUGCAUACAGUGGGAAAACAUGAGUGGCCUUUCGUGGGGAGCAUCAAACUAAAUGUAUAUGUCAACAAUUAAUUCCAGACCUGACAGACUGAAUUCAGUAGUGAACUCAGUAAUUAAAUAAAGGGAACCCAAUUUUAAAUUGGAUUUAAUAACUAUUUGUUUGAAAUUAUUCUGAGAAUGUAGCGCCCCUUUUUGUACUUUUGAUUAUCCUUACUUCCUAGCUUAAAAGUUGUUUUGAGCUAGUAAAAUUAUUUGACUCUCAGGGUGAUACACUGUGUACAUAUGUACUGCGUGUAUCAGUGUAGUAUUUCUUCUCUGAUUUUAGAACUUUUCAUGUGUAAAUUUGACCCUGUAAAUUUGGAAGAUAUUUUGUUACCCUAUUUGAAGUUAUAAUCUCAAACAUAUGAGGGACAUUUUAGUAAGUAUUCUGUAAGCUUGUUUGUGGGGUUUUAUUUUAUUUUUUGGUUGCUUGUUGAUUUUAAUUAUAUUUAAGUACAUUUAUCUUCUCCAACGGGAAACUGACCACUGCCCCAGAGAUUUGAUAAAUGUGAUUUUUAUGGAAAAAUAAAUGAAUAAUGUGCAUUUUCUUUCCAAUCUCCUGGGCCGUUGUCAUUCUUUUUCAGGAGGAAGAUGAAGAUGAAGAUUUUGAAGAGGAGAGUGAUGAUGAUGAUACUGCAGCUCUUCUUGCAGAGCUAGAAAAAAUUAAAAAAGAAAGAGCUGAAGAGCAGGCCAGGAAGGUAAAAUGGAAGUACUAAAUAUUUACAUCUUUCUCCAUCUUCUGUGCUAAACUAGAAAUAUUUUUUGAUGUAAGUAAUAUCAUCUUGUAUUAGAAAUCAUCCAUGCCAUGUCUAGGUAUUACAGUGCUUGUAGGUCUGUAAGUCCCAUUAUUUUUGUGCCAUCCUAACUUCCUUGGUUGUGUUAAAAAUUCUUUCCGGGGCGCCUGGGUGGCGCAGUCGGUUAAGCGUCUGACUUCAGCCAGGUCACGAUCUCGCGGUCCGGGAGUUCGAGCCCCACGUCGGGCUCUGGGCUGAUGGCUCAGAGCCUGGAGCCUGUUUCCGAUUCUGUGUCUCCUUCUCUCUCUGCCCCUCCCCCGUUCAUGCUCUGUCUCUCUCUGUCCCAAAAAUAAAUAAACGUUGAAAAAAAAAAUUAAAAAAAAAAAAAAAAUUAAAAAAAAAAAAAUUCUUUCCAAAUAGCUCAGACAUGCCUAAUAAUACUACCAGUUUGCUCUUUGUUCACAUACUUGUUCAUAUGUUCAGCAGACAUUGAGUCAUUGUCCGGUAAGUGUCAGAGGAAUCAAAGUUGAAUACGAUAUAUAAUCAUGGCCUACCGAGAACCCAUGGAUAUAAUGAGGCUAUCUUUGUCUCCUCUUUGCAGCCUUCUUUCCAGGCCUAUGUUGAUAUAGUCUGUCAAUAGGUUUUAUAUAACUUAGGGCAGUUUACCUAACUUCUGGGUCCCCAUAUUCUCUCCAUUUAUACAGUGAAAGAAAAGAAUGUCUGUCUCAGUGAGAGUCACAAGGAUUACAUAGGAUCCAUAGUACAUACUUUUUGUUUUAAUUUUUUUUUUACAUUUAUUUUUGAGAGAGAGAGAGAGAGAGAGCGCGCGCGCGCACAAGUGGGGGAGGGGCAGAGAGAGAGGGAGACACAGAAUCCAAAGCAGGCUCCAGGCUCCGAGCUGUUAGCACAGAGCCCGAUGUGGGGCUCGAACCUACGAACCGUGAGAUCAUGACCUGAGCUGAAGUCCGUUGCUUAACCGACUGAGCCACCCAGGCGCCCCCAUAGUACAUACUUGUAAACUUUGGGUGAAUUGGCCAUAGUAGUAAAAAUAAGAAACAGGUGAGCUCGAACAGGUCACAGCUUUAGUGGUUCACAAGCCAGCGCUAAAGGAGUUUGGACUCGGGUUUUGAAGGCCAUGAGGAGCUAGUUGAUUUCAGCAGGAGAUUGAUAAGGUUGGAUAUGCAUUUUAUUUUUUUGUUUAUUUUAUUAUGAAAUAUUUCAGUAAUACCGGGAAACAUGAAUAAUAAAAUUAUUGGAUACGCAGUUUGGAAAGAUUACGUUGGCAGAGGUAUGGAGGUUGUAUUGAGAGAACUGAUUGCGGAGGCUGUUCCAGUAAUCCUCACAUGCAAUUAUGAUAAUUUUGCAUAAUAGGAAUUGGAAUUGAGAGACGCAAGUAGAUGCUGAUAGAGCUGUCGAGGAAGAAAAAUUGACCAGAUAAAGUGGCUGAUUAGAUGUGGCAGCCACGAUGACCCCCCAGUUUCUGGGGAGAUGUUGCUGCCAGUCACUAAUACAGGGGAUGGCAGAAGGAUGAGCGUGUUUAGACGGAGAGAAAAGAGAUGACGAACUCUGGAACAGGUUGAAUUUGAUUCAUUACGAGACAUUCAGAUGAAGAUAUCUGCUUCCACUUUCAAACAAAACAACUCAGCUUUUUUUAAUGAGCCUCUCUCUGUGCAAGCUUGAACCAAGCUUGAACCAAGAAUUUGUUCUGUUUAAAGGGGGGAAAAAGACUAACAUGGGUUCAUGUGAGGAGUCUAGGGAAGUAGAACAUUGCUGGAUUUCAAAUUGGAAGAAGAAUAUUUUUUUUUAAAUUUUUUUUUUAACAUUUAUUUAUUUUUGAGACAGAGAGCAUGAAUAGGGGAGGGUCAGAGAAAGAGGGAGACACAGAAUCUGAAACAGGCUCCAGGCUCUGAGUGGUCAGCACAGAGCCCGAUGCAGGGCUCGAACCCACGGACCGUGAGAUCAUGACCUGAGCCGAAGUCGGAUGCUUAACUGACUGAGCCACCCAGGCGCCCCGGAAGAAGAAUAUUUUAAGGAUAGUUCUCAUCAAAGUUUGGCAUAAUUCCCAUAAUAGCCUAUAAUUGUAUCUAAUUUUUAAAAAUCAAAGAAUUAUAAGAACUUUCCUGAUAUCACUUGCACACCACUAGAGGGCAGUUGUUCUAUUCCAGAAUCUUUCAGCUUGCCUAACAGCUCUAGAUACGUAAAGAGACAUAGAAUUCAAAUGCAUUUGGUUGACCGUUAGGAAAGAUAAAUGUAUUUCAUUUCAUUUAUUUUUUUAACGUUUGUUUAUUUUUGAGAGAGAGACAGAAACAGAAUGCGAGCUGGGGUGGGGGGGCAGAGAGGGAGGGAGACCCAGAAUCCAUAGCAGGCUCCAGGCUCCGAGCUGUCAGCACAGAGCCCCACACAGGGCUCGAACUCACGAGCUGUGAGAUCAUGACCUGAGCUGAAGUCGGACGCUUAACCAACUGAGCCACCCAGGCACACCAAGAAUAAACAUUUUAGACAAAGAUCUUGGAAUUUUGUGGGGCUCAUCUACUGUCUUUGUACAAAAAUGUAUUGAUGUUUCUUGGGAUUGAAUGACAGUUAUUUCUUUUUUUUCCUGUUUGCCUGUCUGGUUUUCUAGUGGCUGGUUUUUGAGGUGUCCCAAAAUAACAUUUUCAAACCAGUCACCCUAUGUCAGGGGUUAGGAAGCUUUCUGUAAAGGGCCCGAUGGUAAAUAUUUCAGGACAUUUCAGGCUUGCAGACCAUGCAGUCUCUAGUGCUCUCUGUAGCACAGAAGCCACUGCAAACAAUACCAAAAUGAAUGAGGUUGACUAUCCAUGUUCCAGUAACAUUUUAUUUAUAAAAACGGAGCAGUUUGGAUUUGAUAUGCAGGCUGUUACCCAUUAUUAGCCUAUGUUUGGGAGCCAUAAUGUGCCUGGUACUUGAGUAUGGAAAGGGUGGGCACCUUUGUUCCAGUGCUGUGUUUGGCAAUCAGCCAGGACUGUGAAAGAAAAAAUAAUGCAGAUAUAAAAUGUCCAGAACUUUAUCAUAUCACAUACAUUAUUAUUAUAAGUUGGAUACAUUGUGUAUUUGAGCUCUUUUUUUUAUAGCAUCUCAGAGAAAUAUCUUUUCACUUUCAGCAUCAAUAUAAUUUGUUAAAAAUACAUAGUUUUUAGAAAGCUGUCUGCUCUUAAUCUAUGAUGGAUGCUCUUAAUUUUGUUUGCUUAAGGUCUGAAAGUGACCUAAAGUAAUUCCCCUGUUUAUUUCCCUGAAAGUUGCAUCUUGUCACUUCCCAGUUAUUUGGCCUCUUAAAAAUGAAAUCUGUUGUUCACACUUGGAUAUUAAAAUGAAAUAAUCAUUAGCCUGUAUGAAAAAUUAGGUUAUUUUUUAAAGUGAUAUAAAACACUAUUAGGUUCAUUUUAAAUUGAAAGUCUCUUUUUCCUUGAUCAAUUUUUGUCAUCCCUAAAAUCCAAUAAAGUAGGAUUUAUCUUUGGUUUAAAAUAGCCUGAACAGAUAGAUCAGCAGUUACUAUGGCUAAGAAUUCUAGGCAUUUUAUAUUUUUAAGAAUGAAACAGGGUGAUUUGGGUUUAAAGAGGUUAAUGCUAAAUUAAAAGUGAAGAAGGACAAGCUUGUAGCUGAUGAAGAAUGAGAGGUGUAAAAAUGGAGAAUUAGUAACAAUAAAUGAUAAGAACAAAAUGGAAAAACCUGUGGUGAAUUAGUAGAAAUGCAUGUUAACUGAAUAUAAGAAUUUACAUGAUAGUUUGUUUUAUUUUAGGAGCUACUUCUUGGUUAAUAAUAACUUGUCACUAAUCCUGGAGCUGCAAGUUUACAUUGUUAAUAGUUCAAAAUAAAAUUAUUUUUUAAUUGUGGUUAUAUAUAGCCCAUCUUUAAAAAUAAAGGUAAUAGUUUUGCUAAAUGUAUCUUUUUGAUGUUUAAUAUAUUCUGAAAUUAUUAGAAUAUAUUUAUUGAUGUAUUAUCUUAGAAUGAGCGAUGAAUUUUGUAUGUACUUCAAGAAAGAAAAUAAGUUUAAAUAUGCAUUCUAGAAUUUCAGAGUCGGACUAAUGAAUGUAUGAUGACAAGCAUGAAAUAUAGUAAAAAAGCCAAAUUGUUUGGAUUAAGUGAGACUUUUCUGGUAUAUCUUAUAUCUUUUUUUUAAAAGAAAAAAAAGGCUACCUUGAUUCUUACUCCAGCUCCCUCAUAAAAAUCCUAACAGUCUUUUAAAAUAGGAGUUAUGCAAGAAGAUUGAUCCCAGAAUUAAUGUAAAUAAAUGAGCCCUCCUCUGUCAUUGACAGGAACAAGAACAAAAAGCUGAAGAAGAAAGAAUACGUAUGGAAAACAUAUUGAGUGGAAACCCUCUCCUUAAUCUCACUGGCCCAUCCCAGCCUCAGGCCAACUUCAAAGUUAAAAGAAGGUACUUUACACUAAUGAGUUGGAUAUAUAUUGCAGAUUGGGAGUUUUAUACCAAGCUCUAUUGUGUGAAGGCUCUAAAAACCCCUUUUUCACUGGUCAUCUUCUCCGUCAGAUAUUAGAAUGAUAGAAGAAGGAAUGAACAUUUACUUACUUUCAGUAGAUAUUUCUGAUAACUAGCUGUGUACCAAAUACUGUUGUUUUUUAAUUUUUUUAGUGUUUGUUUAUUUUUGAGAGAGAGACAGAGUGCAAGCUGGGGAGGGGCAGAGAGAAAGGGAGACACAGAAUUCGAAGCAGGCUCCAGGCUCUGAGGUGUCAGCACCGAGCCCGCUGCAGGACUUGAACUCACGAGCCGUGAGAUCACGACCUGAGCUGAAGUCGGCUGCUUAACCGACUGAGCCACCCGGGCGCCCCCAGAUACUGUUCCAAGCGCUAGGGAUGGAGCAGUGCAUUGAGCCGUUGGUCCUACAGAGGUUACAUUUUACAUCUGUGUGGGAAGAGUCCCAAGCUCACCCUUCACAUUCAGAGGCUCGCCAGAAGGACACAGAGGACUCGGCAUAUAGUUGUCCUCGUACUAACAGAGCCACAGCCAGGUCAUAAGGGGGAAAGCUACAGGAGGAAUCCAUGUGCACACUUCCUCAUGCUCUGUCCCUCUUCUGAGGGUCACCCAGAAUAUUCUUUACUCUAGCAGUGACAGGUGGACAUGGGCCAGCACAUGAGCCUUACUGGUUAUACCCCAGUAGUUUCUUCUUUUGUUGCCAUAUACUAUAGUGGAUGAUUACUAAGUGGUAACUGAUCAAAGAGCAUAAAAUCUGGUAAUCCGAACUAUAGUAAAUUGACCAGUUAUUAUCAUCUAGAACCAUCUACAGUAACAGGGUAAUACCAGGGCUGCCUCUUUGUUUCAGACCUGAAAACAUUAAAUAUUUAUGCAAUUAAGCCGGUGUAUUUCUGCUUUUUAACUCAGAGUUCCUCAUACAGGAGAAGUCAUAAGAAUAUAUGUUCUAAAUAGGAAUUGCCUUUCCUGCUGUAAUAAAGCAAAAUUACAACCUAUUAAGAAUUACUUUAUUCUUUUGGGUGUAAUUGCUGUAUCAGAUGAUGUAUAUGUUGAGCAUAUUUCUGGGUAAUGACUAAGCUUUGCAACUCACUUUUUUCAUGUCUCCUGAUACAGACAUGUAAGUGUGCUGUUUGCUUUUUUCCUUUAGGUGGGAUGAUGAUGUUGUUUUCAAGAACUGUGCAAAAGGUGUAGAUGAUCAGAAGAAAGACAAAAGAUUUGUAAAUGAUACACUGCGAUCUGAAUUUCACAAAAAGUUCAUGGAGAAAUAUAUUAAAUAGUACAGUUUUAUGUGCUUAAUUAAAGACUGUAAAAUGUAAACGA
This 6588-nucleotide long non-coding RNA is filed under the name Lynx pardinus (Iberian lynx). The record is from RNAcentral. Lineage: Eukaryota; Metazoa; Chordata; Mammalia; Carnivora; Felidae.